This 282-nucleotide ribosomal RNA is filed under the name Enterobacter hormaechei. RNAcentral's name for it is "partial 23S ribosomal RNA". It matches the Rfam family "Bacterial large subunit ribosomal RNA", at positions 1 to 284 of the family's 2925-position model. The record is from RNAcentral. Lineage: Bacteria; Pseudomonadati; Pseudomonadota; Gammaproteobacteria; Enterobacterales; Enterobacteriaceae.
GGUUAAGCGACUAAGCGUACACGGUGGAUGCCCUGGCAGUCAGAGGCGAUGAAGGACGUGCUAAUCUGCGAAAAGCGCCGGCGAGGUGAUAUGAACCUUUGACCCGGCGAUGUCCGAAUGGGGAAACCCAGUGUGUUUCGACACACUAUCGUUAACUGAAUACAUAGGUUAACGAGGCGAACCGGGGGAACUGAAACAUCUAAGUACCCCGAGGAAAAGAAAUCAACCGAGAUUCCCCCAGUAGCGGCGAGCGAACGGGGAGCAGCCCGGAGUCUGAAUCAG